CGGGGUGUGGCGUAGUUGGUAACGCACGUGCUUUGGGAGCACGAGAUCGUGGGUUCGAGUCCCACCACCCCGACCA
Molecule: transfer RNA, 76 nt
Filed under: Anaerolinea sp.
Lineage: Bacteria; Bacillati; Chloroflexota; Anaerolineae; Anaerolineales; Anaerolineaceae
Description: tRNA-Pro
Rfam family: tRNA
About the family: Transfer RNA (tRNA) molecules are approximately 80 nucleotides in length. Their secondary structure includes four short double-helical elements and three loops (D, anti-codon, and T loops). Further hydrogen bonds mediate the characteristic L-shaped molecular structure. tRNAs have two regions of fundamental functional importance: the anti-codon, which is responsible for specific mRNA codon recognition, and the 3' end, to which the tRNAs corresponding amino acid is attached (by aminoacyl-tRNA synthetases). tRNAs cope with the degeneracy of the genetic code in two manners: having more than one tRNA (with a specific anti-codon) for a particular amino acid; and 'wobble' base-pairing, i.e. permitting non-standard base-pairing at the 3rd anti-codon position.
Source: RNAcentral